Molecule: non-coding RNA, 4929 nt
Organism: Phalacrocorax carbo (great cormorant)
Lineage: Eukaryota; Metazoa; Chordata; Aves; Suliformes; Phalacrocoracidae
Source: RefSeq, a predicted model, not a curated record
AAAAAUUUGUUAUAUGCGUUCAGGGUUAGGUUAGGUUACGGUUGCGAUGUUGAUUUAUUUGCUCUCAGUUGUUGUGCUUGUUCUCAGGGUUAUGUUGUGUAAUAUGUUACUUGCUGUAUAUGUUCCCUGUUGUGCUGCUUAUCACCUCUGGGGGCUGGAUUAAGGUUACCAUUUUGCUGUACUGGGUAGCACUGGCUUAUGAUAUGAUAAAAUUACUGGUCAUGAGACUAACGUGAUAUUUGUACUUAGCAUUGCAGCUAUCUCUGCACUUUGGGAACCAUCUCUGGGGAACUUAAUUAUAUUCUUUACCUUUUCUCCUUGGAGAGCCACUUCCCCUGCUCUUUCACCUUCCCCUUCUUCAGGCUAGUUACAAUGGCUUUUUAGAAUUUUGAGCAUCCUUGGGGUGUUCAAACAUGUUCCUAUUGUUAUGUCUCCUGAAUGUGUUUCAGGUCUUAUUUAAGGUUAAACAACUAUUUAAGAGUACCCAGAGAUCUGCCCCAAGGUUGGGUAGUUAUGAGUGACAGGGUCUGUGGGGUAGUAUGGGCAAGUGCCUAGGGCAGUGAAGUUUUGGAACUUCACCCCUGAACAAGUGCAGAAUCCUGAAAAACUAGUAAGAUGUUUGGAAAAAGAUGCUGUCACCCUGGCAAUUCCAGAGAGACACAAAUCACUACAUCAUGCUGGGGCCUGGCCCAUGCCUACUGAGCCCUGUUCAACACAAUUCAGUUCCUCAAGUGGAAGAGAAGGUCUCUGCAUCUGACAAUAAAAUGACAGGCACUGCGGCCACUCCAACCCCAGCAACGGGCACCACAGGUGAACCAGAGAACCAACCCAUGCCGGUAUCAGUCACCCCCAUACACAAGAAGAAAUAUUAGAAACAAAAGUCACUUUGUUUAGUAAGGGAAGAAACUCCUACUAAGAAGGGGAAGGAGGAAGAAGUGGAUGAGGCAGGCUACUCCAAAGCAGGGCCAUCACAAGAGGAGGAGGAAGAAGAGGCAGAACUCAUCAAUGAGGCGGUAACCACCCAAUCCCUAUCUCUGAGUGACCUGCAAGACACAACACACACUAAGAGACACAGUUAUCAAUGUUCCCUAAUAUGUCUGGGCACUGUGGGCUGUGAUGAGAGGUCAUCCAACAGAUUAAUAUAAAGCCUUGCUGAGCUGUGGAACUUCCCUUCUGUUGUCACCUCUGGUGAUUCACCCCUUCCAGGGGAAACUGUCAUUUCUCGAUACCUUCAAGUGCACUAAAGGCAUUUAAGGACAACAGAAGACCAACGCAGGAGUUCACAGUGUAAAGCUCUGAUCCUUAAACUCCUGUUUCUCUUUCCCUCUGCAAAAGUCCACUGAAAUCACAGUGUGCAGGAGUCAAUAACCAGAACUGGGGCCUGAUUGCAGAUGGUGUGCAAUGAGUGAGGGGAAUGUGACGAAGGCUGUUUUCCCAGGAGCAUGAAACAGUUACGCAGUAUUAUUACAUGCACUCUAAGUAGCAUCUGCUGAAUGCUCUGCAGGCUCGCCUGGGUCAGGCAAGGCAUUACCAACUUUUUGCCACUGGCUCCUCUAGCUGGCAAAUGAAAAGUUCUUUGACUAAACACAAUCCCAGACAUACCUGGGAAAAACAGUGGAGGAGAUUUAUAACACUUAAAUAAUAAUUGCAGAAUGACUUGUAGCUGCCACCUUACUCAUCUCCUAGCUCCUCUCCUGCCCUUCCUCACCGACCAGCGCAAAAAGCCUGCUGUUCAGGGUGUCUUGCUUCACUGCCGCCACAGAAGAAUAUCUGACAUCUCCUUUCCCCUCUGCCUGCAGUAAGUGAGAAGCAGGUCAGAGAACUGCGUGCCUCAUGCUCCCCCUGGGGCUGGCCCUGGAUUGCUGAACUCCUGCAGCACCGCUCGCUCACGGCUGCUCCCGUGCAAGAGGCUCAACACGCCACCACCUUUUGCUAUGACCAGGAAUAGCAUUUCCUGAUUUUGGUUCACAUUUCCAUUCUCCCAGUUUACAAACCAUACCACAAAGUUAAACAUCAAUCUGCCUUUACCUUCCAGCCCCAGUAAUGUGCUACUGUGCUCUGAGUCCUGCCUUAGUAACAAGGACUCUAUUCCAAGAAAAAUAUCAAUAUUAAAGUAAAUUUCUCAAGACAUUUCCUCUACUGCAUGUGUGGUGUGGGGGGAGAAGGAGGAAGUAAUACCUGCAUUUUUCUUCAGAGUAAAUGUUGGUAAAAUUACUCAUCCUGCAGAGCAGCUAAAUGCAUUUUAUGUUCCCCUAAAAUUUCCUAUAUGCUGAUAUGUAUUCUCCCAUUUCAAAAGGUUUUUGGAAUAUAUGAAAAGUUGUAGUACAGAAUAGUUGCAGCCUUGCUUUGUUUCCACUGAUGUUAGAGAAGCAUUUCGAUGUUUUCCCAGACCAAUGAUCCUUCAUGGAACACAGUUUUAUGAAAGGUAGUCUAUGUGUUUUGUCUUAGAAAACUUAAAUAGUGAUUACUCAGAGCUACCUCUGUAGCAUGAAGAACAGUUAAAUUUUAACUUCAAACAGUGAACAAAUACAGAAAACCCUAUAACGUACUUACUCUUUGUUACCCACAGUGUUUUACACUGGCUGUAGCUUUUAUGUCAUCUUUUUUGUGCACGUCUGGCGCAAACUAGGUGGUCUUUGAAAGUGUUGGUGAAAGAGCAUUUGAUUGAGAAUCUGAGUUGAGCAUCCUUUUCUUUUAGUAAAACAUUUUUCUGAAAUUUGUUGCUUCUAUGUCCUUGCUGUUGUGCUAAUCCAGAGGAAAGAGAAAACACGACAUCUAUUUUUGCCCCUCCUAUCCAUGCUACCUGACUUUAAAGUUAGUGAUCUCCUUAAUCUGGUUCCCACUUAUCUGCUAACAGAUAAGGCUCAGUGGUUUAGUUAGUUAAACACUUUACCAGCUGGCUUAUUGUGAUUUAUUGACUUGUUAUUGUUCAGAGAAAAUGUCCGAGCUAGGAGCAAUACCAAAAAGCAGUCAUUUGCUACCAGAUUUUCUGUCGGUUUUGUUGAUGUUGGUACACUGCAUUUUCUUACUAUUCCACUUCUUUUCACAUCCAUCCUUGUCAAACCUGAAGAGCUGCACAGAGCAACACACAGUGGCUGCCCACUAGGCCAUGCACGGCUGAUAACGCUCACAGCAGGACCGUGAGUAAAUAGCAUUAAGAUGGGAUGCAAACCAGCCAAGCCAGAAGCGCACAGCGACGGCUCCCGCUAACACUCAUGAAGUAGCUAAGCUAUGACGGUAGAUGGUGUAUGUAAGACUCUGGCCCUCCCAUUUUAAUGUGAUAUCAUUUGAGAGUGAUGCCCGGGACCAGAAGCAGUGAUUGUGGCUUGUGAUAUGUUGAUCUGAGUUCAUUUACAAGCAGAUGAGCUCCACCCCAGCUGUCUUCCAUGGAGAAAUUAUUUCUAUCCCUUACUAGCUGCACCGGCUGUAGAAACAGAACUGUUUUCCACUCUCAGAAGAGAGUUGCGUUGCACAGACAGGAUGAGGUGGGGGAUUUGCCAGUGCUGUCCCUCUGGAUUCAGGGUAGUAAAUGUUUUAUGUUUCCCUGGGACUGACAAUGAAGCUGGUGAAAUAUAAUUCUAGUUUAGUGUCAUCUAAGGAGAGUAGUAUCUGUAUUUCUGUGGGAUAUCUGCAGAAGCAUCUUGUUGUCACACCUGAGGGCAGGUCUUCAGACCUCAUCUUACCAAAGUAUUUAUCAAAAGUUCACCAGUUCGUUUCAUCCAAGAUCAGGUAUCUCCAGAUGCAGCCGAGAAGGGACUACAGAUCCUCUCUGCAGUCAGACAGACCCACAGGGAAGCAGCUUCUUGACCUCAGCAGUGGUGUGGAAAUUAAAAAAAUACAAAACAUUUUCAGGGACUGGAAACCUGAGACCGUGAGCCUGCAGCUCCCAACGGGAUGAAUAUCACAUUAGCCUGGAACGAUAACCUGGCCAGUCACGUUUCCCUUGGGGUCUUUUACAAGGUUUGGAAAUGAACUGAAGCAAACUGUAAAUCCAAAUCCCACUGACAGUGAAGUUCUGCCCUGGUAGCUGUUCUGGAUUAGCCUCCAUUUGGUGUAAAUAUUCCAGAGUAAGAGCUGAGCCAUCUCGACUUGUUUAGAGGAAAUCUUGUUACAGAAUGCAGGACAAACCAGUCAAGCCACUUUAAACAGGAUAAAUGAACAAAGUCUUCAAGGCUCAUUCUAUUUGCUGUUGGUGCUAUGAAAGACGCAGCUCAGAUUUAAAGGCCCGGUGUGCCAAGGGCUGGAGGGCAUUCGCCGCUCUGAGGAGUUUCCAGUCUCAGCCAUAAGCCAGCGUGGGCAUAAAGCAGCAAGAGUAAGACUCGGCUCUUGUGCUACAGCCAGGAUCAUAUGAAGUAGGUGACAGCUUUGGAGAGCAGCUGUAUGGAGCAAAACACAAGCAGUGCAUUGGUGGUUCAACAAUGCAGAUGAGCCAAACUAAGAGCUGUCUUUGCCAGAAGGAUCGUAAUCUCGCUGCUUCCCUUGCACCACCACUCCCGCUCACCUGAAACCAGCAAAACUCCCAGCCAGACAAAAAAUUACAGAAUGAUGCUCAGAAACACUACGGAACAAGAUGUCUUGGAGCACUAUAUUCAUGACACCGAGCAAAGGUGACACAGCAAAGGUGACCAAAGGAGACAGCAACGCAAGGCUGCACAGGAUUUGCACAGGCCCUUAGCUGUCUCUGAAAGUUGUGGAUCUCAGAUGAUGCUUCUCCCCUCUGUGCUUUUAUAAAUGUUAGUUUCCAAGCAAGGUUUUAUUUAUCUGGCUGACAGAGUUGUUCUGUGGGCCAAAGUUAAAGGACAAGUGAUUUAUACGAAAAUAUGGUCUACAGCACAUGUAUUCUUUGGGAUGUUUUCUGUAGCAUCUUUGGAUGAAAUUAGUUGAAUAAACUGAAAAUUUUUUCUUUCUUAAGUCCAAAAGUAGCAGUUU